GAUGAACGCUAGCGGCAGGCUUAACACAUGCAAGUCGAGGGGUAUUGGUUUUCGGACCAAGAGACCGGCGCACGGGUGCGUAACGCGUAUGCAAUCUACCUUUUGCAGAGGGAUAGCCCAGAGAAAUUUGGAUUAAUACCUCAUAGUAUAGUAGUUUCGCAUGAAACGACUAUUAAAGUUCCAACGGCAAAAGAUGAGCAUGCGUCCCAUUAGCUAGUUGGUAAGGUAACGGCUUACCAAGGCAACGAUGGGUAGGGGUCCUGAGAGGGAUAUCCCCCACACUGGUACUGAGACACGGACCAGACUCCUACGGGAGGCAGCAGUGAGGAAUAUUGGACAAUGGGCGCAAGCCUGAUCCAGCCAUGCCGCGUGCAGGAUGACGGUCCUAUGGAUUGUAAACUGCUUUAGUACAGGAAGAAACACUCCCUCGUGAGGGAGCUUGACGGUACUGUAAGAAUAAGGAUCGGCUAACUCCGUGCCAGCAGCCGCCGUAA
Molecule: ribosomal RNA, 494 nt
Filed under: uncultured bacterium
Lineage: Bacteria
Description: partial 16S ribosomal RNA
Rfam family: Bacterial small subunit ribosomal RNA
Source: RNAcentral